Molecule: ribosomal RNA, 320 nt
Filed under: uncultured eukaryote
Lineage: Eukaryota
Description: partial 18S ribosomal RNA
Rfam family: Eukaryotic small subunit ribosomal RNA
Source: RNAcentral
CCCUUAGAUGUUCUGGGCCGCACGCGCGCUACACUGACGAAUGCAACGAGCUUAUAACCUUGGCCGAAAGGUCUGGGUAAUCUCCAAAUUUCGUCGUGAUGGGGAUAGAUUAUUGCAAUUAUUAAUCUUCAACGAGGAAUGCCUAGUAAGCGCAAGUCAUCAGCUCGUGCUGAUUACGUCCCUGCCCUUUGUACACACCGCCCGUCGCACCUACCGAUUGAAUGGUCCGGUGAAAUCUCGGGACGGCGGCUUGGUCGCUUGCGUCCGACUGCUGAAACUUGAUUAAACCAUAUCAUUUAGAGGAAGGUGAAGUCGUANCA